This is a non-coding RNA of Anaeramoeba flamelloides, 82 nucleotides long. Lineage: Eukaryota; Anaeramoebidae. The record is from the annotation of a GenBank genome assembly.
GACGAAGUGGCCGAGUGGUUAAGGCGGUUGACUGCUAAUCAGUUUCCCUUGUGGAGCGUAGGUUCGAAUCCUGCCUUCGUCG